CCCUAUCGAGCUUUACUGGAUACCGAUAGCGUUAAUUUAGAAUGAUCGAUACUAAGUAUCCUAAUUCUAAGUUAAUAAUUUUUGUUGGUAGGACAGUUUAGUUGGGGCGACUACCUUUGAAUAAGAAACGAAGGCGAGCUUAUGGUAUUAUUAAAAUCUCAUUAGCCUCACAGUGAGGGGGACACCCCUAGCUGGCACACGUAAGGGAUGUGGGCGAUAGUGCCCGAUAUGAUUAUCCAAAAUAAAUAUCGAAAGCGGAUAAAAGCUACCGUAGGG
RNAcentral lists this ribosomal RNA (276 nucleotides) under Keratoisis hikurangiensis. Its description in RNAcentral is "partial 16S ribosomal RNA". It matches the Rfam family "Bacterial large subunit ribosomal RNA", at positions 2089 to 2473 of the family's 2925-position model. The record is from RNAcentral. Lineage: Eukaryota; Metazoa; Cnidaria; Anthozoa; Scleralcyonacea; Keratoisididae.